UUCAUAAACAACAUCAUCAUGUUCAACGAUUUGACAAGAAAAGAUUAGCUGGUAUUAUGAAUGAUGAUAAAAGACCUUCUUUAUCUCGUUUAUGG
This 95-nucleotide non-coding RNA is filed under the name Pteridomonas danica. The record is from RNAcentral. Lineage: Eukaryota; Dictyochophyceae; Pedinellales.